AUAAGAUUAAGUUAAUUUAAGACUGUAUGUUUUCAAAACAUAAAGUAGUAUUAGUGCUAUCUUAUG
RNAcentral lists this transfer RNA (66 nucleotides) under Rhinebothrium sp. BT-2021. RNAcentral describes it as "Rhinebothrium sp. MZUSP 8032 tRNA-Trp". Lineage: Eukaryota; Metazoa; Platyhelminthes; Cestoda; Rhinebothriidea; Rhinebothriidae. The record is from RNAcentral.